Molecule: non-coding RNA, 222 nt
Organism: Pelobates cultripes (western spadefoot toad)
Lineage: Eukaryota; Metazoa; Chordata; Amphibia; Anura; Pelobatidae
Source: the annotation of a GenBank genome assembly
GAUGAGAUUCCCCUAAAUUCCAAGGCCAGAGAAGAACUUCUUAUGUCGCUCAACAUAUUCAAGUUUGGAACAGAAAAGCCAUAUUCAGAUUCCUUCCAGAUUUGAUUCUUGAGUGAAAUGCAAGUCAUCUGGGUUGAGAAGCUUAGUGCUGUUUGAUCUCCACAGGAGGAAAAUGGCCAUUAGACAAGACCAAUUUUCAUGUCAACGGUCUAAAAUUUUUAG